UUCCAGACUCCUACGGGAGGCAGCAGUGGGGAAUAUUGCACAAUGGGGGAAACCCUGAUGCAGCGACGCCGCGUGAGUGAAGAAGUAAUUCGUUAUGUAAAGCUCUAUCAGCAGGGAAGAAAAUGACGGUACCUGAGUAAGAAGCCCCGGCUAACUACGUGCCAGCAGCCGCGGUAAUACGUAGGGGGCAAGCGUUAUCCGGAUUUACUGGGUGUAAAGGGAGCGUAGACGGCAGUGCAAGUCUGGAGUGAAAGGCGGGGGCUCAACCCCCGGACUGCUCUGGAAACUGUACGGCUGGAGUGCAGGAGAGGUAAGUGGAAUUCCUAGUGUAGCGGUGAAAUGCGUAGAUAUUAGGAGGAACACCAGUGGCGAAGGCGACUUUCUGGACUGUACCUGACGCUGAGGCGCGAAAGCGUGGGUAGCGAACGGGAUUAGAUACCCCGGUACC
This 448-nucleotide ribosomal RNA is filed under the name uncultured bacterium. RNAcentral describes it as "bacterial SSU rRNA". It matches the Rfam family "Bacterial small subunit ribosomal RNA", at positions 329 to 794 of the family's 1533-position model. The record is from RNAcentral.